RNAcentral lists this ribosomal RNA (489 nucleotides) under uncultured bacterium. RNAcentral's name for it is "partial 16S ribosomal RNA". It matches the Rfam family "Bacterial small subunit ribosomal RNA", at positions 29 to 507 of the family's 1533-position model. The record is from RNAcentral.
AUGAACGCUAGCUACAGGCUUAACACAUGCAGGUCGCGGGGCAGCAUGGGGGUUGCUUGCAAUCCCCGAUGGCGACCGGCGCACGGGUGAGUAACGCGUAUCCAACCUGCCCUUCACCACGGGAUAACCCGGCGAAAGUCGGACUAAUACCGUAUGUUGUCCAUUGACGGCAUCCGAUUUGGACGAAAGGCUUGGCGGUGAGGGAUGGGGAUGCGUCCGAUUAGCCAGACGGCGGGGUAACGGCCCACCGUGGCUACGAUCGGUAGGGGUUCUGAGAGGAAGGUCCCCCACACUGGAACUGAGACACGGUCCAGACUCCUACGGGAGGCAGCAGUGAGGAAUAUUGGUCAAUGGGCGUAAGCCUGAACCAGCCAAGUAGCGUGCAGGAGGACGGCCCUAUGGGUGGUAAACUGCUUUUAUGCGGGGAUAAAGUGGCCCACGUGUGGGCUUUUGCAGGUACCGCAUGAAUAAGGACCGGCUAAUUCCGUG